Non-coding RNA from Peromyscus maniculatus bairdii (prairie deer mouse), 383 nucleotides. NCBI's taxonomy places the organism in Eukaryota, Metazoa, Chordata, Mammalia, Rodentia, Cricetidae. The record is from RefSeq and is a predicted model, not a curated record.
ACUACCUCACUUCAAAUUGCCGUUCCCAAAAGUAUCUCCUAAGUUACAGGGGAAAAUUCAGCACCUCAUCCUUCCAAAGCUUCCUUUGGAGCUGAGGGAUCCAACGAUCCUUCCAGAGAUCCAACAAUGCUUCACUGCAAAUGUUUCUUUGUGGGGGCCUCUGUGAGAACUUACUUGAAUUUUGGCCACCUUGCAUUGCUGGUCAAGGAUGCUGCAGAUAUGGACACCUGCCAACCUACCAGAAGUUCAGUUCUAAGCUGCCCUGCCUGCCAUUUUGAGUGAGCCAACACUUCCAAGUUCUUGAGGGACUAAGUGCCAACAUGUCAAAGAGGUGGGGAAAUUUAAGGACCCAUACCAUCAAAAUGCUUGCUGGUGAUGUUCAA